This 478-nucleotide ribosomal RNA is filed under the name uncultured bacterium. RNAcentral's name for it is "partial 16S ribosomal RNA". It matches the Rfam family "Bacterial small subunit ribosomal RNA", at positions 28 to 507 of the family's 1533-position model. The record is from RNAcentral.
GAUGAACGCUGGCGGCGUGCUUAACACAUGCAAGUCGAACGAGAAGUGGAGACGGAAACCUUCGGGCGGAAGACUUUACUUCGAGUGGCGGACGGGUGAGUCCCGCGUGGGUAACCUGCCUCAUACAGGGGGAUAACAGUUGGAAACGACUGUUGAUACCGCAUCAGACCACAGCACCGCAUGGUGCGGGGGUAAAAACUCCGGUGGUAUGAGAUGGACCCGCGUUCGAUUAGCCAGUUGGCGGGGUAACGGCCCACCAAAGCGACGAUCGAUAGCCGAUCUGAGAGGAUGACCGGCCACAUUGGGACUGAGACACGGCCCAAACUCCUACGGGAGGCAGCAGUGGGGAAUAUUGAACAAUGGGGGAAACACUGAGGCAGCGACGCCGCGUGAGUGAAGAAGUAUUUGGGUAUGUAAAGCUCUAUCAGCAGGGAAGAAAAUGACAGUACCUGAGUAAGAAGCCCCGGCUAACUACGUG